RNAcentral lists this ribosomal RNA (460 nucleotides) under uncultured bacterium. RNAcentral's name for it is "partial 16S ribosomal RNA". It matches the Rfam family "Bacterial small subunit ribosomal RNA", at positions 338 to 795 of the family's 1533-position model. The record is from RNAcentral.
CCUACGGGAGGCAGCAGUGAGGAAUAUUGGUCAAUGGACGCAAGUCUGAACCAGCCAUGCCGCGUGAAGGAAGACGGCUCUAUGAGUUGUAAACUGCUUUUGUACGAGGGUAAACGCAGAUACGUGUAUCUGUCUGAAAGUAUCGUACGAAUAAGGAUCGGCUAACUCCGUGCCAGCAGCCGCGGUAAUACGGAGGAUUCAAGCGUUAUCCGGAUUUAUUGGGUUUAAAGGGUGCGUAGGCGGUCGGAUAAGUUAGAGGUGAAAUUCCGAGGCUCAACUUCUGAAUUGCCUCUGAUACUGUUCGGCUAGAGAGUAGUUGCGGUAGGCGGAAUGUAUGGUGUAGCGGUGAAAUGCUUAGAGAUCAUACAGAACACCGAUUGCGAAGGCAGCUUACUAGGCUACUUCUGACGUUGAGGCACGAAAGCGUGGGGAGCAAACAGGAUUAGAUACCCGGGUAGUC